Equus caballus (horse) is the source of this 1937-nucleotide long non-coding RNA. Lineage: Eukaryota; Metazoa; Chordata; Mammalia; Perissodactyla; Equidae. The record is from Ensembl.
GAAAGGAAUAGUGCACUUGGUUCAGUCACCAAAAUGUACAAAUAAUAGAGAAGUAAGAAGCACAGACCAGAAAUCAUCUCCCAGUCUGGAGUGUGUGCUCACCGCAGAGCUGUUUUUGUGUCAUUGCGUACAACAGCUGGACGCCACACAAUGGUCUGUUAUUUCUCGUGUCGUGGGUCAGUGGGCGGUUCUGCUGAUCUACGCUGGGUUAGCGGGGCUCCCUCACCCAGUGCUGGGGGCUGGGAUGGACGAUCCAAGUGGCCUUGGCGGGGAUGACCAGCCAUGCUUCACAUGUCCACCCUCCACCGGGCUGGCCAGGAGAGAGCCCGGAACACACAGGCUUCCUAGCUUGGACCUGGCACAGCGUCACUUCUGUCACAUCCCAAGGCCUGGACUCCAGGGCAGAGGAGAUGGAACCCCCUCUGGUGGGAGAAGCUGCUGUCACACGGCAGAGGCCUGCGUGCUGGGAGGGGAACCAGCCAGCUGGGGUCAGGCCUUCACAGCCUUCCAACUCAUAAUCAUUCUGCAGCAAUCGGUUGCAUGAACUUUAUGAUUUCGUUCACUACAAAUGUCAGCAAAUGUGAAAUGUCCCCGGAGGUUCAAACCCCCAUGUCGUUAGUGCUUCCUACAGCGCUGGAUCCCUUUGUGACCAUCUCUCCAUGGUAAUCAGCAGGCACAAAGCAACUGGCUUUAAUCUCCACAGGGGCCAACUGCUCAGGAAAUUAUUUGGGGCUGGCAGCUGCCCCGGCCUCCUAGACGCGCCUGUACGCGCCUCGACAUUCACACCACAGACGCAGCUGUGCAGGCCCCUGACGUCCCCGGGAAAGAUCAUGAGCCGUGAAGAGCUUGUUUGGCACUGAGCUCUGCUGUCCUGCGAGAGGAGAGACGUGGUAGAGUCAACCUAUUCCUCUUACUGCCUUCAAUGUGUCCAAUCACAAUAUUUGUGCCCCAUCAGUGUGCUGGAACUUCUCUGCUGGACUCCUGGAAUUCCACGAGAGCUUUCUCAUCCAUGGAGGUUGUCUGGAUGCAGUUGGAAGUGACUGAUACGUCUGCUGAUAGAUGGGCCGCGUAGACAGACUGCUGGUUAACUUACCUGAGGAUCGCGGCUGGAAGACCUGAGGCCAAGAAGUUCUAACAUCUGCCAUUGGCAAGCUAAAGAGGCAGGAGAGCUGAUGUUCCAGCCCCAGGCCAAGUCUGAAGAAAUAGAAGACUUAUAUCUCACCUGGAGACAGCCAGGCAGAGAGAGAGGACACAGCAGCAUCGGCCCUCUGCUCCUUCACACUAAAUAUAACUAUAAACCCUGGAAGUAACACAGCACGCAGCCAAAGGAGAGCUCUGAAAGGUGGAAGUGGAAGGAGAACUGGUUUGAGACCCGAGGACCAGAGAAACAGCACAGUGCCAGCUGGUGUGAGCCCCUCCAAUCAACUGAUGAAGCCAACUGACCUGGACCUGGGGUUUCCCAACCCCCAGCCCAGCAACAGAAGGUGGCCAGGAAGCAGACAACGGCCUGGUUAGACCUGUGUAGAGAUGUUCAUGGAUUCCAUCUUCUGGUGGUGUUUGCACGCUCCCCUGUAAGGAUCAGAGGGGGAUCCAGAGUUACCUCCCCACGAUGGGCAGAAGCAGGAUAGAGAAGACUUUCAAAAGCAGCCCCUUCUGUGGGAUUAGACAGGCUGGUUCCAAAAUGCACAUGGAAAUGAACGUCCAAGAAGAACAUGGUGGAAGGCUGUGCUCCACCAAGAGUGAGACCUGUUUUAAAGCCGUAAUAAUCAGGCCAGGGGAUGUCAGUGCGGGGAGAGGAAGACAGACUCAGCUCGGCGCAAGACCCACUGGUUCACAGACACAACUUGUGUCUGAAAUGGCCCUGCAGAGCGGGGGAGAAAAGUCUUUCCGAUAAAAGUGCUGGAAACUGGGAAUGCAGCUGGAAACAUAAACUGGUC